RNAcentral lists this ribosomal RNA (439 nucleotides) under uncultured bacterium. RNAcentral describes it as "partial 16S ribosomal RNA". It matches the Rfam family "Bacterial small subunit ribosomal RNA", at positions 339 to 795 of the family's 1533-position model. The record is from RNAcentral.
CUACGGGCGGCAGCAGUGAGGAAUAUUGCACAAUGGGGGGAACCCUGAUGCAGCAACGCCGCGUGGAGGAUGACGCAUUUCGGUGUGUAAACUCCUUUUAUAUGUCAAGAAAAUGACGGUAGCAUAUGAAUAAGCACCGGCUAACUCCGUGCCAGCAGCCGCGGUAAUACGGAGGGUGCAAGCGUUACUCGGAAUCACUGGGCGUAAAGGACGCGUAGGCGGGUUGGAAAGUCAGGUGUGAAAUCCUACAGCUUAACUGUAGAACUGCACUUGAAACUUCUAAUCUAGAGUAUGGGAGGGGGAGAUGGAAUUAGUGGUGUAGGGGUAAAAUCCGUAGAUAUCACUAGGAAUACCAAAAGCGAAGGCGACCUCCUGGAACAUUACUGACGCUAAAGCGUGAAAGCGUGGGGAGCAAACAGGAUUAGAUACCCGAGUAGUC